This is a non-coding RNA of Picea glauca (white spruce), 74 nucleotides long. Lineage: Eukaryota; Viridiplantae; Streptophyta; Pinopsida; Pinales; Pinaceae. The record is from Rfam.
GCUUUCAUAGCUCAGUUGGUUAGAGCACCCGUUUAGUAACCGGGAGGUCAUGAGUUUAACUCUCAUUAAAAUGA